RNAcentral lists this ribosomal RNA (664 nucleotides) under uncultured bacterium PM5. RNAcentral describes it as "bacterial SSU rRNA". It matches the Rfam family "Bacterial small subunit ribosomal RNA", at positions 54 to 716 of the family's 1533-position model. Lineage: Bacteria; Pseudomonadati; Pseudomonadota; Betaproteobacteria; Rhodocyclales; Rhodocyclaceae. The record is from RNAcentral.
CAUGCAAGUCGAACGGCAGCGGGGGUGCUUGCACCUGCCGGCGAGUGGCGAACGGGUGAGUAAUGCAUCGGAACGUACCCAGUCGUGGGGGAUAACGCAGCGAAAGCUGUGCUAAUACCGCAUACGUCCUGAGGGAGAAAGCAGGGGAUCUUCGGACCUUGUGCGAUUGGAGCGGCCGAUGUCAGAUUAGCUAGUUGGUGAGGUAAAAGCUCACCAAGGCGACGAUCUGUAGCUGGUCUGAGAGGAUGAUCAGCCACACUGGAACUGAGACACGGUCCAGACUCCUACGGGAGGCAGCAGUGGGGAAUUUUGGACAAUGGGGGCAACCCUGAUCCAGCCAUGCCGCGUGAGUGAAGAAGGCCUUCGGGUUGUAAAGCUCUUUCGGCCGGGAAGAAACCGUGCAGGCUAAUACCCUGUAUGGAUGACGGUACCGGAAUAAGAAGCACCGGCUAACUACGUGCCAGCAGCCGCGGUAAUACGUAGGGUGCGAGCGUUAAUCGGAAUUACUGGCGUAAAGCGUGCGCAGGCGGUUUUGUAAGACAGGCGUGAAAUCCCCGGCUCAACCUGGGAACUGCCUUGUGACUGCAAGACUAGAGUACGGCAGAAGGGGGUGGAAUUCCACGUGUACAGUGAAAUGCGUAGAGAUGUGGAGGAACACCAUGGC